GUGCUCACAUUGGCAGCACGUAAACUAAAAUUGGUAUGGCACAGAGGAGAUUAGCAUGGCCACUGCGCAAGGAAUGACUCGCAAAUCCGUGAAGCAUUCCCCACACUU
Molecule: small nuclear RNA, 108 nt
Organism: Stegostoma tigrinum
Lineage: Eukaryota; Metazoa; Chordata; Chondrichthyes; Orectolobiformes; Stegostomatidae
Source: RefSeq, a predicted model, not a curated record